ACCUCAACCUCCAUGAGUCCCCGGGUACCCACUCUUAAGCACCCCCCCGACCCCCCCGGACCCCGAAAGAUGCUUAGUGGCGCUCUCAAAAGGGUCGGACACCUGGUAACCAGAAUGCAUUAAAACAGCAGUCUACCAAACAGCCAGCAGAGGGCCGCUACCAGGGAAUGCACUGCCUGGGAGAGAUAGACUGAUAGGACCUGAUCCAAAUCACACAGCCCGGUCAUACACUGUCCACAAGAUGCUCUGAUGCUUGCUUCAUAUUUCACAGGGGACACUACUCAAAAACACAACACUGUACACUAGCACCAGCCUGUAAGUACACCAUUUCUGAGGUAGGCAGCACCUCUUUUACUUUAUUAAAUGAUCCAAAUCAUUGUAAAAAAUACCCCUGGGUUAUGUGCCAUAUUUGCCCCGUGACUGAUGGCCUGGGAACAUCCAAAUACAUCUUAUUUCAGCAAAUCAUUUCUUUGCACUCGCAUUCACAGUGUGUCUCACAAUCAACUUCAUGACAAGUGUCUCCCUCUCCUGGCUGGAGUUGGUACUAUGCUAUAUUCUCCGUAGUUGGUGAAUUUUAGCAUAUCUCCACAGGGGGGGCGUGUUUUUGUCGACCUCUCCUGGUUGGAAUUAAGAACAACAUGUGCUAUAGCAUCGCGUCGUAUUUGGUGAGUUGCAAUAAAUCUUCCAACACAUUGUAGGCGUAAUAUUUCUUUUAUUUUCUUCAUGGAAUCAAUUGUUUCAUCCAAGUACAUGCCCGUACCAUUACACCGGAACGGAACAACAUUACACUGCAACGAAACGCCCGUUGCUGUUGACAUUAGCCUCCCAGAAACGAGUGUAGUACAAUAGUAGCCUAUUCACCGUGGUGGCCAAAUGCUCUUGUUUGCUAGGCAAAACUCGUCUGUGCAUUACCAAACCUUGAUCAUAUCAGACCGGGAAAGACGACGUGUUUGUAGCCUAUUCAUUUAGAGAAGAGGAGAAGAGGAGAAUUCACAAUAAAUCCCUCUCACAGCCACCGGAGGGCGAGCAUUCAAAGUGAGCACGGGUGAAGAGGAUAACUAUACAAAUCAUUGGAAAUCUCCUUGGAUAAAUUCAUUUGAUCGCCUAUUCCCUAUGGGCAAAAUGCUAUUGAUUUUUUAAACCAAUCUCUUCUUGGCUUUUCUAUAGCAAUCGGGUGAAUACGAUUUACAUUGCGUUAGGAACCUUUGAUUCCGGAUAUCAUGUUGACAAUGGGACACGGUUAACUGUAAAACAGGAUGUUUUUCUCCGUCGUUCAGGUAAGCUUUCGUUCAAUACACCUGCUUAAAACACCUGUUUAGUGUAUCCUAUUAUAACCCAGCGAAAGAGGGAGACUUGUGGUAACGCUGCGGGUACAGCUCCGGGGGGGAAAAAAUUACAAGACCACUGAACCAUUGAUCUGGCCUGCCUGCCUGCCUGGGCCUCCUCCCUGCCUGGGCCUCCUCCCUGCCUGGGCCUCCUCCCUGCCUGGGCCUCCUCCCUGCCUGCCUGCCAGCCUGCCAGCCUGCCUGCAUAGAGAAACUAGAGCCAGGGCUAACCCUAUCAUCCAGUACCCAGGCCCGUGCUAAUCGCACCUGUAGUUCCUAAGAUAGUCCAAGUUGAAGCACAGCCAAUCACAAGCCAGAUAUGCAAAUGAGAGUCAAACUCUUGAGGGUCAAAGUCGUUUUUAUCCUAAUACCUAACCCUAA
This is a long non-coding RNA of Esox lucius (northern pike), 1706 nucleotides long. RefSeq lists it as uncharacterized. Lineage: Eukaryota; Metazoa; Chordata; Actinopteri; Esociformes; Esocidae. The record is from RefSeq and is a predicted model, not a curated record. The transcript is spliced from 3 exons.